AACGCACGAGACCUGCGGACCUGCGGAAGGAUCAUUACUGAGUAACGUGGUCUUUUUUCAUGACCCGCUACCCGCCCUUUGUCAUAUGUUGGACGAGGUCGUCUUUAGGGGCGGCCUCCGACUCCACUUCCCGGGAGGCGUUGCGCCUCAUCAAAGUCUAGGCCUUGAUGAGGAUGGGACCGCCCGGGGUCUUUUUCAAACCCUUUGUGAGAAAUCUGAAGUCUGAAGCGAAAGCUUAAA
RNAcentral lists this unclassified non-coding RNA (240 nucleotides) under soil metagenome. Its description in RNAcentral is "partial contains 5.8S ribosomal RNA, internal transcribed spacer 2, and large subunit ribosomal RNA". The record is from RNAcentral.